Long non-coding RNA from Neoarius graeffei (lesser salmon catfish), 1345 nucleotides. RefSeq lists it as uncharacterized. Lineage: Eukaryota; Metazoa; Chordata; Actinopteri; Siluriformes; Ariidae. The transcript has 3 exons. The record is from RefSeq and is a predicted model, not a curated record.
GUGAUCAUCAUCCUUAUCAUCAUCACCAUCAGCAGUCAUGAUCUUCCCUUUUCUCCUGCUGGGUCUUGCCUGCCUUCAGUCAUUCACAAUGGCUGAUGAAACAGAAGGUUGUUUGUGCAUUCUGUGCUACGCACUUCCUGGUUCCUGAGUUGUUUGCACCGAGUCCUUUUUUCCUGCGACUGUUGGCGAUAAUUACGUUUUUUAACUUUUUUUUCUACAAAUAAUUUUCCAGUAUCCUCUUCAUUUUUAUUGUACUGUCGCUUUCCUUUUUGUACUUUUCACUUUCGCUUUCCUUUUUCCGGUGUUUUUUUUCUCUCUCUCUCUCUUUUUUUGGAAGAACGCUGAGACCGGAAGCUUUCUUUUUCUCUCCUCCUGUGUAAAGACCACAAGCGGAGGCCAUCCACAUUGGAUCUGCUUUAAUAUCAACAGAUCUUCAAUUAAGACCUCGACUGGCUAUUGUAGCCUGCAGGGAAUUAGCCAUCAGACAUUCUGUAGCAUGUCCCAGACCCGGUGAAAUGUAACUGAAUUGUCUUGGCCAGCCCUAAGGUUCCCAUCUACAUCCCAUCAUUGCUGAGCAGUGUGCUCCCAUCACCCAAUCAAGCAUCCAGCCAGAGCAGGUCAUGAUAUUUUUUAACCAUAUUAACAUACCAUUAUUGUGUAUUAUGCCUGAUGUCAAGACUCUCAUCUCUGCGAGCCUACCACACAGACUUAAUACUUGUCAUUUUUUAGGGCAUACCUAACAACCUGUGUUUUCUCCCCCCCCCCCAAUCUGUCCCUCUGAGUUACAUGUUGGUCCUGAGAUUGAGAUGCUGACCUCUUCUGCCCCUCGGACCUGCUUGAGCCAUCCUGGUGCCCUGUGUCUGUUUGGAGUUUUAUUGCAUCGCUCCUGUGGAGGACGGCCCCAUGAGGACAGUUGAAAGUUACACCUGGAGGACGCUCUGGACUCUUACAGUGAUGCUUUUAUGGCUGUGGACUACAGUUGACUUGCUAACUUUAGGACUGCAGUUGUCAUGAACAGUUUUGCACUCAAGUUUUCAUCAAUGAAGAGUUACAACAUCAAUGAAACUGACUUCAUAUUAAAACUGUUAAUGUUAUAGUCAUGCUGUCUGUUGUUGCCCAAAUGAGGAUGGGUUCCCUUUUGAGUCUGGUUCCUCUCGAGGUUUCUUCCUCAUGUCGUCUGAGGGAGUUUUUCCUUGCCACCGUCGCCACAGGCUUGCUCAUUGGGGAUAGAUUAGGGACAAAAUUAGCUCAUGUUUUAAGUCGUUCAAAUUCUGUAAAGCUGCUUUGCGACAAUGUUUAUUGUUAAAAGCGCUAUACAAAUAAACUUGACUUGACUUGACCCUUA